GCGGGCGUAGCUCAGGGGUAGAGCGCAACCUUGCCAAGGUUGAAGUCGGGAGUUCAAAUCUCCUCGCCCGCUCCA
This 75-nucleotide transfer RNA is filed under the name Rhodospirillales bacterium. RNAcentral's name for it is "tRNA-Gly". It matches the Rfam family "tRNA". From Rfam's summary of the family: Transfer RNA (tRNA) molecules are approximately 80 nucleotides in length. Their secondary structure includes four short double-helical elements and three loops (D, anti-codon, and T loops). Further hydrogen bonds mediate the characteristic L-shaped molecular structure. tRNAs have two regions of fundamental functional importance: the anti-codon, which is responsible for specific mRNA codon recognition, and the 3' end, to which the tRNAs corresponding amino acid is attached (by aminoacyl-tRNA synthetases). tRNAs cope with the degeneracy of the genetic code in two manners: having more than one tRNA (with a specific anti-codon) for a particular amino acid; and 'wobble' base-pairing, i.e. permitting non-standard base-pairing at the 3rd anti-codon position. The record is from RNAcentral. Lineage: Bacteria; Pseudomonadati; Pseudomonadota; Alphaproteobacteria; Rhodospirillales.